CUGACGAGUGGCGGACGGGUGAGUAAUGCUUGGGAAUCUGGCUUAUGGAGGGGGAUAACGACGGGAAACUGUCGCUAAUACCGCGUAUUAUCGGAAGAUGAAAGUGCGGGACUGAUAGGCCGCAUGCCAUAGGAUGAGCCCAAGUGGGAUUAGGUAGUUGGGGGGGUAAAGGCCUACCAAGCCUGCGAUCUCUAGCUGGUCUGAAAGGAUGACCAGCCACACUGGAACUGAAACACGGUCCAAACUCCUACGGGAGGCAGCAGGGGGGAAUAUUGCGCAAGGGGGGGAACCCUGACGCACCCUUGCCGCGUGAAUGAAAAAGGCCUUAGGGUUGUAAAGUUCUUUCGGUAUUGAGGAAGGUUGAUGUGUUAAUAGCACAUCAAAUUGACGUUAAAUACAAAAAAAGCACCGGCUAACUCCGUGCCAGCAGCCGCGGUAAUACGGAGGGUGCGAGCGUUAAUCGGAAUAACUGGGCGUAAAGGGCACGCAGGCGGUUAUUUAAGUGAGGUGUGAAAGCCCCGGGCUUAACCUGGGAAUUGCAUUUCAAACUGGGUAACUAGAGUACUUUAGGGAGGGGUAGAAUUCCACGUGUAGCGGU
Molecule: ribosomal RNA, 598 nt
Filed under: Haemophilus influenzae
Lineage: Bacteria; Pseudomonadati; Pseudomonadota; Gammaproteobacteria; Pasteurellales; Pasteurellaceae
Description: partial 16S ribosomal RNA
Rfam family: Bacterial small subunit ribosomal RNA
Source: RNAcentral